GGUGGCCAGGACGUGGCCCUCUCCUCCCCAGCCAGUGCCCAGCACUGAGGAUGCCCUCCCUUGCUCCUCCUCCCCUCCUCUCCCUCACCUCCUUCCUCAAACAAAAUCAACUGGUCCUUUUCUUAGGUAACUGAGUCAGCAAGGCAGGUGGCCGCUCGCCCUGACAGCCCUGACAGCGGCAGGAUUAAGGGGGGAUCACGGCCCUUUGUCCUCUCCGCAGAGACUGAACAACUCCCUUGGUAAGGUGGGGUCUCCAGGGCUUCUUCGGGCUUCCUCCAGCCGGGUGGGGCCCUGGUGCCACCUCUGCAGGGAAGAGGGCUGAGCCGACCAGCAUGGCACAGGCCAUGGGCAGGGUCUCAUUCCAGCGCAAAAUCGACCCACCUCUUUGGUUUUGCUUUGUUUUUCCAGUACCGGGAAUUGAACUCACGACCUCGUGCUUGCCAGGCAGGAGCUGUGCCGCUGAGCUAAAUCCCCAGCCCCGACCCACCUCUUUGGACUCCAGAGACACGCGGCCUCCUGCCGAGAGAGUGCUCCCCAAUCCGGUGCCAGAGGCCGCAGAGCUCAGAUGGCACCCGGCCUGCUCCUCCCGGCCCGGCCCCUUCGCUUCUAUGGCUUUGUGGAGGGAGCGCGCCACCUGCUUUUGCAUAGGCCACGCAGGACGCGAGGAUCCGCUUCUCCCGAAGCCAGCCAGCCGUCCCUCCUCGGCGCACCCCACCCGCCCGGGCCAGACAGUCGCGGAGCACGGAGCUGCGUCCGCCCUCCCUGCACACCGGCCCGCCGUCGGGUCUGCCCCUCUCCCCUCCUGCCUUCCCGCCCACUCUCCGCCCCUCUCAGCCCACAGUCACCCUGUCACAGUCCCCAGCGGCACCGCGCUGGGCAGCGCCCCGGCGCCGCCACGCCCUCCGCGUCAGGCUGGGCUCGUGACCUCGCCGUGACUGCCAUCGGUUUUCUGUGCCCGCCGCGGCGUCUGCCUGUCCCGCCUCCCUCCUUCCCGUCCUCCAAAGGCCGCCUUGGCACUGCGUGCCGGGACCCUCUGCUCUGCACCCCAGGCCGAGCUCCGAGGCUGGGUCUCUGCCCACGCUGCCGCCUGGCGGCCCUGUCGGGAAUCCGGCCUCGCUGCCCAGCUGCCUUCCCGGCCCCGCCGUCCCCUCCGCCCUCGGCCCAUUGCCCACAGCGCCUCUCCUCUGUCCUCCUCCGCAGGCCCCGUCCCACCCACACCAGCGCCAGGCCCGAGCCAGCUGCCCUCCCGCCUCGCGGUGCUCGUCCUCACGGGGUGGCAGGGAGGCCACCACGCCUCCCGCCUGCACACUGUGACGUCCCUUCCCGCAGAGCGGCCCGUGGCGCCCGCCUGCAGUGCGCACGGACCCGGCCUGUCCCUGUCCCAGCCCCCGCGGCUCCCUGGGGCCCUUGGAGUGAGCUGCUCACGCUCGGUCCAGGCUCCUUCCCAGGCUCUCGCAUGCUGCUCCCCCUCCCUGCACUCUCCUCCUCCUCAUCCUUCAUCCCUCGGCCUUGCCUGGCUUUAAGGCCACUUCCUCCAGGCAGCCUUCCUGGUUCAUCCUCAAAACCAAUCAGACCACACACAGCAGCUUCUGGCUCCCUGAGGAGGGCCGGGAAGCCGCACCUGUGUGACAGAAACGUCCUUUCCCGGCCUCCUCUGUUAUUGGUUAGCAGAGAUGACGUUAAGGUAGCAGCUGCAGUUUGGAAGUUGGGCGCUUGGAGGAAGCGACAGAGCUGGAGGGUGACACCGCCUGUUUGA
This 1756-nucleotide long non-coding RNA is filed under the name Chinchilla lanigera (long-tailed chinchilla). RNAcentral's name for it is "lncRNA (ENSCLAG00000026942.1)". The record is from RNAcentral. Lineage: Eukaryota; Metazoa; Chordata; Mammalia; Rodentia; Chinchillidae.